AUUGAACGCUGGCGGCAUGCCUUACACAUGCAAGUCGAACGGUAACAGGUCUUCGGAUGCUGACGAGUGGCGAACGGGUGAGUAAUACAUCGGAACGUGCCUAGUAGUGGGGGAUAACUACUCGAAAGAGUGGCUAAUACCGCAUGAGAUCUACGGAUGAAAGCAGGGGGUCGCAAGACCUUGUGCUACUAGAGCGGCCGAUGGCAGAUUAGGUAGUUGGGGGGGUAAAAGCUUACCAAGCCGACGAUCUGUAGCUGGUCUGAGAGGACGAUCAGGCGCACAGGGACUGAGACACGGCCCAGACUCCUACGGGAGGCAGCAGUGGGGAAUUUUGGACAAUGGGCGCAAGCCUGAUCCAGCAAUGCCGCGUGCAGGAUGAAGGCCUUCGGGUUGUAAGCUGCUUUUGUACGGAACGAAAAGCCCCGGGUUAAUACCCUGGGGUCAUGACGGUACCGUAAGAAUAAGCACCGGCUAACUACGUGCCAGCAGCCACUGUAA
RNAcentral lists this ribosomal RNA (498 nucleotides) under uncultured bacterium. RNAcentral describes it as "partial 16S ribosomal RNA". It matches the Rfam family "Bacterial small subunit ribosomal RNA", at positions 30 to 523 of the family's 1533-position model. The record is from RNAcentral.